UUACGGGGACGAAAAUCUCACUUUUCAUGCAGUGCGUUGUAGUUGAGUUCUUUGCAGCUGCAUGUGCAGCGGCAUCGCCUGCGUGCACGUGCCCUGUGAGUCAGGAGGGCCCCGGCCUUCGGUGUCACAGGUUUGAAGCUCGACUCAUUAGUAAUUUAAAGGCCGCUUCCAUGUUUGCUCAUAUCAAUUAUUCGCUUCAUUUUUUUGGGAGGGGAGGGGCGGGGGUUGUUCUUACAUACUCCAAACACAAUCCAAGAUAGGGGCUCAAAUAAUGCCAAACAAAACAAUCCUUCAAUAUAAGAAAAGUAAUUUAAGCGAUGUAGUUGAAGGUGCAUCGACUGCAGAGUUGGCGGAGGAAGGUGGCUGAGACUGGUGUUGGUUUCAUCCCACUUUAAUGCCAUGCAUUCCAUUAUGCAAUGUAGUAGACUUGUCCGUCUUCAUCUGAGCUGAAGGGCAUAUUGCCAUUAGCAAGCCCGAGGAACUCCCUAUCCAUGUGCUGCUGCAAAGAAAGAGCCACGCAGGAGAGCUCGAAGCCACAAACUGACAUCACCUGCACGAAGCCGAGGCUGUCACAUCAUGUGCUACAGCGAUAUAUAUUUAAAUCCAGUUUUAUGUGAGGCAGUUAUCAACCCAGGACAGACCAGGUGCACAUUAUUGUGCAUGGUUGGACCGGUAACAUUACAACAAAAGUGUAAGACUCCAACAGAGAGGAAACAAACUCUUCAGCUGAAUAAACGCGUUUAACAGAUGAAUGUGAGGAAUUACAUUACAUUACAUUACAUGUCUUUUAGCGGACGCUUUUAUCCAAGGCGACGUACAAUACACCCAGUCUCCUCCCAUGACAUCAAUCUCAGGACACGGACAUUAGAUGGCGCUUCCCAAACUACUACUAUGACUAAUGCGCUCCGUCCACCUCUGGUUUUAAUCAGACACACCUUUGAAAACAGAAAGCCAAAAAUCCUGACUGUGACGUAAGGUCAAGAACUGCGAGGAAGCUUUGGGAGAAACCGCAUGCUGUACAGAUUAACAUGUUGUUCCAUUGCCAAGGUCAGCCUGCUAUGCAAAACUUCUCUUCUCACACUCUACCAAUAUUUACCUAGGGAGUUUCAACAUACCAGGGAGACGGGGAUACAGGUAAACACAGCUAUGGAGCACCAGAGACCGCCAGUCUCCAGGUAACCGACCCCGGCAUGUAGAUGUCCUUAUCCCGAAGGGGAUUCAUUCCUCUAAAAUGCUGUUUUCUGUGCUGAGAUAAGGUCAAGACUGGCGGGUUGUUGCGCACCAGCGCUGUGGAAUGUACAAUGACAUCAAACUGUGAGCAAUGUUUGACUUCAGGUAAUAGUAAAAGCGUUUGCCCUGUGAACACAGAUCCCAGUUUGGGUCACACUGCUUUUUUAGAGUAAACCAUGCAUUAGCAGUGAAAAAAUACUUUAUAACAGAGAUUGAAUCUAUAAGGGGUCACUCAACACGGGAAUAUAACUGACCCCAAGAAGAUACACAAGGAAGGAUUAAGAUAUAAGUGAACAUGUAUGAGGAGGAACAGAGGUGGUCAGGCAGAGUGCUUUCUUUUCCUCACAGGCAUCAAAGAUACAUUUCAUUUUAUGCCGGUGCAGCGGUUCACCAAUACAGAUUAAUUAUAGCAUUAGUGAUGAGAAACAGAAUUUUGUGGGGGUGUUUAAUCUUUAGAGAAGAAGACCAAACCACAUUAAGAAUGGGUUUAGCACAAUUAUGGCAUGAUAUUGUGUAAUGUCCUCACUAAAGUUUAUCCCACGAUACGACUCUAUGAAAAAAGUCAUCGGCAUAUUUCUGUAUGAAUAGAGACGCCAAAUGUCUGAAAUUUUCAAAUGUAACAAAAACCUUGCCUGAAAGAAAAGAGAAAAAAGUUUUGGAUAUAAGUAAGAAAGUACCUGAAUAUUUGAUGGACAGUGCUGAACGAUACCUAAAAUGGACUGAGGGUCGAUACCCGGCCCUAAAUGUGCGCAUUCACAACACAGAGAAAGUAAAGUAUCGGUUUGUGUUGCGUGUGGAUCAAAUGUCUGAGGGUGGGCCCCUCAAUGAACCUGAUUUACAGUGUAAUGGGGAGAUGUCACACGGGGGAGGGUGUAUGGACAGUCAAGAUAAGCAAGAAAAAUAAAGGUAGAAGGGCAGAGUGCAGAUUUACGGCUAAUUCACAGUAUUCUAGGAAGUCCUCUGGGACCAUGGAGGUCUCUGUCUGUCGUUUCCAACAUCACUGGAGGGGGGAGGGGGGGUGAUCUUUGAACAAGAGGCUGGACAAUAAAGCACAAAGAGGAGUGUUGGUUAAAGCGUGAACAUUCAGCGGCAGGCAGACACUAACACCCAACCUGAAAUAUGUCAAAAGAAAACUGACCACACGGUCAUGAUGGUUGUUUCUCACAGAGAAAAUAACCAAAGGUCUUUCAGAACAGGACAUGUCUCAUGGAGGACGUUUAUCUGAAGUGUAAAACCUGGGGCACUUCAUGUUCAGGAUGCAGGUCGAGGCAGAGAAGCAUCUCUGCAAACCUGCGACUUGGAGUUCACCUCUACGGGCACCAGAAGCGCUCGCUCCGGUCCGUUUGUCACUGCGUCGCGGGGCGCGACGACACAGAAUCAUCUUUAGUUAUUCAGUAAGAGCUUUUUUCUGUGUCUCCUAAAAAAAACCUACCACCUCCAUCCUGUCAUAUGCUGUGACGUUUUAAUUACUAAUGCUUUAAUAUUAAGCAAAUGUUUGAACUUUCAGGAUAUCCUACAAUUUAAACCUAAAAGUUGGCAGAAAUAACCUGGGGCGGUGCUUAUAUCCUACAUUUUUUAUAUUCAUUGCAAAUAAAUAUUUUAGACAAAACCAAUAUGUUAAUUUAUUGCCGUUCCGAUCCUUGCCGCUCCCUACUGCUCUCGUGCCCUCCUGCUCACCGCUGUGCGCCACGUAACGGAAGCUGCCGUCUUCCCAUUUGCUGGCUUUGCUCCUGACGUGCUUGAUCAAACACAUCUGCAUCCAGCGGAGGGUCCAACGUCAAGCCUCUCAGCGCCAGGGACGAGCCUGCCGACUCCACCUGCCGCUCUCCUCCCCAGUCUGUUGAUUUAGUAUCGCGGAGCCCCGAGGCGUACAUUUUUUCCUUCUUUGUGGCGUCUUGACCCCCCCCCACGCCCUAUCCCCCGUCACCCCAACCCAGCACCGCCCCGUGGCCCUGUCCGGAGGCCCUUGGCUGCGGCACCAUGUUAUUUACUGCCCAGAGAGCUCUGUGUGCAGAGAGUCAACACGGCAUGGCUGGUUGAGCAUGGGAGCGACCUGCAAACACCCUCACAGCACAGUCACAUGACCAUCCCACGGGGCUGGCAGAGGUGUUUACCCGCGCUACAUUUACCACACACGGUACAAUUGAGAGCCAUGGACAGAGAGAGAGAGAGACAAACAGAUACGGACAGACUAAAAAAGCCCGGCAACUACAACCUGCCUGUGGUUUCAAACUGUUACAAAAGGAGCACAGAAGUGAAGCUUUGGGUUUGACGAGGUGAUGGAGCAAACACCCGUGAAGGCUGAAGUUCAAACUGACCAGACAUGACAGCGUUCACUCAGGUGAACUUUACUUUGUUUUAUGACAAUACAUCUUGAAUAUCUUAAGUUAAGUGAAAAGGUCUUGAAAACAUCUAGUUUUGAGUCAUAUGUCAUAUGAAACAAGCUUUUUUGACUUUUGAAGAGAUUUUAAGCUGCUGUGUUGGUUGCAAAAGAUAAAUCGUCUUGUUUCAGGAAUUAGACUUUUUGGAUUUUUUUGGAAGAAAAUAUAUCUUGUUUAAAAGAAAUCCUUAAGUUUCAACGGAUUUGGACAAAAACUCAAAGUUCUGGAGUCUCUGCGGUUUGCCUUAUGGUGAUCACAAGACUAGGGAUUCCCAGAAUGUUGAACUAUUCUUUCAAUCAAGUUUUUCAGCAUCCACAAAAAUAUUGGCUUGAGCUAGGUAGGGAACUUCUUCCUUAUAAGAUAAAUAAUGAUCAUUCCACUCAUUUAUAGAGAGAGGCUGGCAUUCAAAACAAUACAGUGAAGAAUUUACUAUGUAGAUGUUUUUCACAAGUCCAAACUCUGGAGUACUAUUGAUGACACAUACAAAUCUCACAUCUAUACUUAUUUCCAUGUUGCAUUAUCCACUUUACCAAAACUAUAUGUUGAAGGUGCUGUAUUUCUAAGAAGUCUUUAAUCUUUCCUUCUACGUAGUGAAUAUUUUUAACCUCAGAGACUGGGCCCAUAUCAACUUCACUUGAAAAAAAUGGAUGUGUCUCAUGCACAUUCUGACUACAUUCAUGCAUGCUCUUUAACAAAACCAGCAUCUGCCCUGCUGACUGUUUCAGUUUAUUGUCAUUUGAUGACAGUGUAUUGACCGAUAUGGGGCAAGGCUUAUCUCUUGCAUCCAAAAGAGAGUAUGGGAAACCAAUAAUUGCACUGUUGAAUGCGUCUAACUCCAUAUGCCCUGAAAGCACAAGAUGCUGUAAAACACAUUUGAUUUCAUAUGGGGCAACACCUUCAAGAAUAAUAUGCAUUAUGUCUUGUGGAGUUUGAUUGAUUAUAUCAAAGUGAUGAAAUUCUGUUAAUUUGCUUCUCCUAUUAAUACCAUAUGUCAUUUUUAGAUUUUCUUUCAGAAAGUCAGUGCUUGCUUUUUCAAUGUCUCUACAUUGUCGAUAUGACUUGUCAUGGUCCUUUCAACAAACAAAUCUUCAUUCAAUUGUUCCUACGUGUCGUCAAAGUUGCAUUCACAGUGUCUGCAUUUACUGUAAGCAAACCCUACUCCUUCCUUAAAUCCAGCCACUUCAUGUUGAGCUAGAGUGUCUCCACACACAGUCAUAAGCGCCCAAAAAAUUGUCUUCUCACCCUUUGCAGUAACAACUUUUAACACAUCAUACAGCUCAAUCAAGUCACAAUUAAUGCUCUCAAGCACCUUAUCAAUACCACAAUCAGAAAUAUCUUUUGAUUUUACCAUGGCAAGCAGACGAAUGGCAGCAAGUCUUGAUCUGUAUUUAGGGUUGAUGUUACCUAAGGUGUAAUAAAUCAAUAACAAUUUGUUUUUGUUUGCCCGAGAUCCAAGAGGAUUGCACAAUUCAAUUUCAUUUGUAUAUGAAAUGAAUUGCAAUGCUGUGGGAACUCUCAAAAACAGUGGGUGUGAUUUAAAAAUGUCUCCAUCAAUUAAAUCGUGAAAAAAUCCAUCCGGGCAUGGCUGUGGCCCCUGUUCAAUUAUUGCAAGAACUCUUGGAUGCAUUAACAGCUGUUCCAAACUUUUCAACAAUGGUAUAUAAUAAAAGUAAUGGUGUUUAAUGGUAAGAACUCUCAUAACAAACCGUUUGACACUACAUUUUUAUAUAUAAUCGUCUCUGGUUCAACUGGCUGUAACAGUUCGUUGAUUGUCUUAUCCUGCAAAUGUGUUGUAGCGAUUUGACUGAAAGGGUCAUUAAACUGGUCAAAUACUCCCAUCACAUCACUCUUCAGUUGACCAAGGUCCCCAGAAUGUGUCUGAAUCAUGUUAUGUUAUGCACUCUAUACUCACUAGGACAGCCAUCAAUGCCACACACCACGCGAAAGUCAGGGCUGCGACUGUGUAAAGAGUUGAUGUGACUCAAUGUUUUUCAGUGUAAACGCCACAAAAAUAUAGCAUAUGAAACAACGGCAGAUCAUCUUGGAGGAGCAAGGUUCCUAACGUUAAGGCGAGUGCAGCAAGCCAACACGUUAUAUCCAGCCCGGUAGAAAUUACCGGUAGUUUAUCUAUUUUAAAUGUGGGGUGUAAGUUCUUAUUUAGUUAUCUUUACAGAAUAAUUAAUCUGAAAUGGGCAACAAUUUAGUCAAGCUAUACACAAUUAUAACAAAUAUAUAUUUAUACAUUCUUAAAAACACCCCAAAACUAGUUGUUUUUAAUUCAUUUGAAAAAAAAUAAUUACUGCCAUAAACCCCUGUUUUGUAAAUGGUAGCAGUCUAUGGCUCAGCAGUGGGAAGGCUGUCCCGCUAUUUUACGUUAGGCCUCAUUAAAGAUUAAACAAAUUUUCCGUCUGAAAAACAACGCGUUUUAUUCAGAAUCUAAGUGAGCAUAAUACAUUCAGCCGUUCUUUAAAGAAGUGAGACAUCACCUGUUUAUCGUGUCUGUUGAAAGUUGGGCAUGCGCAGUAUGGAACACACACGGCUCACUGGAGGGAACGUUACAGUUCCGCAAUAAAGCUGCCUCGUCCGAGACGGUUUGAAUUCGUAUUUCAUUGCAGGUUAAGUUGUAUCGAAUAUCUCAGUUUUUUUAAUCCGAUAAAUUUUAAAUAUUAUAUUUAAUAUUAUUUGUUGUGUGCACUGUUGCAGCCGAGCACGGUUAGCUAGCUAACUUGCUAGCUAACGUUAGCUAACUAACUUGCUAGCUAACGUUAGCUAACGUUAUUUAACUUGCUAGCUAAAACUGCUAACAGCAUGGACGAACUUGAUGACGUCACGGUGUCGACUUUAAGAGGUAACGUAGUCAAAUAUACAUUUUUAACGUGGUUAUUAAUUUUACGUCAUAUUUAUUAUGCACCAGUAACACCAAGACAAAUCCCUAGUAAGUAAAAACCUACUUGGCAAUACUUAUGAUUCAACAGAGAGGUUAAGAUCAGCUAAAUUUAAACAUAUUAAGACUUGCAGUCCUCUCUAAAAUCGGUAACUCUUAAUUCUGAACAAAUUUGAAUGAAAUUGGUUUUAUUAUAAAUUGGAUAAAUUGAACUUUAUAUUUGUUUCAAUUAAAUCCAGCUACUACUCCGUUCUAUUAUACUAAAACAUUCUGAAUAACCACAACUUAAAAUGUAUGCUUUUAUGAGUUUCGAAAAAAUGUAGAUUGCUAUAUACAUUCAGUAAAUUUGAAUUAAAAUUGCUUCAGAAUUAAGAGAGUUACGACCGAUUAAAAUGUUUAAUUCACCACUCUGAUGUGAUGCACAGUCCACUGAGGUAUGUCAUUUCUUUAUCCAUUGUUAAUGCACUAACUAGUUGGCGCUAGCCAGCUGUCUCAUACAGUUUGGCUGUUCUAUGGCACUAAUUCAUCCUGCAAUGUAUGCUUUACAUUAUGUCACAGCUGCAAAUGUAAGUGAAGAAAUGAUCAGCUCUCUGUCUCGUGAAGACCUGCGGGACCUUUUCCCAGGGCCAGAGGAGUUCUUGCAACAAAAAGCGGUCUGGCAAAUCUGUCAUGGUGUUUCGGAAGAGGAAACUAGACUCAAAAUCAACGAGCAGAAGUUUAAUUCAAUGAAUGGGUCACCCCUACCUCAGACAUCCACUCCAGUAAAAAGAUGUCCUGCAAAGCACACACCUGAAAAGGUUGUUAAGUUAUACUUCCCAGAAUAUGUAUUGCACACUGACACCGAACUAGAGCAAUGCCGAAAACAAUAUUUUGAGUUGGCGAAGACCGGUGAAGAGAGAAACUGCCAAAUGUCAAAGGACCUCAGAUGUCGGCUCAUCCGAAACACCAUGACCAGUAUGAUUGCAAUCCUGAGGGCAACGGGGGACGGCGACAGAUACCCGUCAAAGCCAGAAAUAACAGCUAUGGCAAAGCGAAUAGUGCUGUACUACCCCAUGCUGCAGGACCGAGACCUGAGCAGCAAGAAUGCAUGGGUUACUGUGUACUCACAGCUAUACAAAAGAUUGCAAAAUGUGAGAUCACCCCAAAAGACCAAUCCAAAGAGGCGCCGACUCGAGGAGCCAAAGUGCCAACCUGAGCUGCUAAGUGACCCAGAUGAAUAUGAUUCAAGUGACCCAACAGUCAUUCUGGAUCUCCCCUCAAAAGGGGGUAGCAUUCAAGCAUUCAAGACUGCCCAUCUGAAGGGAGUAGCACCCCAGACUCAAGCAGCAAUGCCAGAUGUGAGUUCCAACAUUACAUUUACAAAUUUACCAUUGUGUAGUGUUCAUAUUUUACACUUCUUUUGUUUGGAAGACUAAUAAACUGGAAGACUCAAACUAAUUGCUACCAUAUUCUUUCUAAAGUUACUAAUUUCUAUGAAUUAAUGCCAUGUAUUUAAUUAUGUAUAUUUCUGUCCUUGCCGCUAAGAUGCGGCAUUGACACUCCAGACACUGACAGUCCAGCAACUAUGGCCAAGCAUUACAGAACCCUACAAUCUUUGUGUAAGAAGAAAACUCCAAACCGUGAGUCCGUCUCUCAGCUUCUGGAUUUGAAAUCUUCAGCCAGAAGAGAAUUCAUUGACUCUGAUUCUUUUUGCGAGGAGGACAGACACAAGAAAAUUCUGGAGGACAUUGGACAUGUGAUGGAGGAGCUUCAACGCAUUCUGGACAAAAAUAACAUCUAUUACAUUGAUGAGCUGAAGGGAAGAUGGGACGACUUCUGCCAGAAGGUGCAGUUUUUUGGUGUGUGGAAAAAGCUGCUGAAACCCCCAGUAGGAAUGGACAAAGUUGAACAGGCUGUCAGUAUCCUACGUGUGCUACCUUCAUUGUUCCCCUCUUCAUCUGCUCCUCUGAAGAAGUUAGGACAUGUGAGUGAGGCUCUUGUGCAUGUCCUCGAGGAAAAAGAAGACCCCAAUGACUAUUUGAAGAAACGUCGUCUCUCCUGCCCGGUCCUUAUUGUGAGUUUGUCCAACUGCCUCCUGGCUGUAAGAGAUGUGCCGAUAACUACGCUCCCAAAAGACAAGGUUACACAGGGUGUUUUAUACCUUGUGGCCUACUAUUAUGCUCUACACUAGUUGUGCCCAACCAGUCGAUCGCGGUCUACCAGUCGAUCGCAGGCUGAGUUGCAGUCGAUCGCGAGAAAUUUUUGACCCCAGGACAUGAACAUGAACAUAACAGAUAGGGAUUUAAAUGGAUCCAAAGAUUGUCCCAUAAUGCAAUGCGCCUACCAGCGCACCCUAACGCACUACUGUAGCGACUCUUGAUAAUGGAACUCAAAUCAAAUUGAUGAUUUAACGGCCGGGGGGGGGGUGCAGACGAACACUGACGACGCGCUUUCUGCUCCGCUGAUGGGAGCGCGCGGACGUAUCCGCGCAGCGCGAUACCGAGCGCGUUGUAAACAUGUCCAUGGACAGGAAAGGGAACCUUACAUUACUGUUGUGUUCUGGCGCCCCUUUUUUUCAAUGGUAGUCUUCCAAUUUUUUUGGCGUGAGAAAUCGGAGGUGUGGCGUGAGAGCGCGUGAACCCGAUCAAAUGCGUGGGUCUCACGGCCAAUGCGUGAGAGUUGGCAGCCCAGGCUAUGGGCAAAGACUGGGCGGAGCUUGAGAGUGCACGUUAUGAUGAGCAAUCUUGCAGAGCAUCUUGUCAGAAUUUGACAGGCGCUUCACUGACUUUGCAUCCAUUGAGCCUGUUGUCAGCUUUCUCUGUUUUCCAUUUGAGGAAAAUGUAGAUGGGAUUGUAUAACGUCCAAAGUGGCAUCAUUCUUCAACCUGGAUAGCUGUGCUGUUGAGAAUGAGAUCCUCACACAGAAGAAUGACAUUGAGCUAAAAUCCAGAGCAACACCUGGCAUGAAUGUCCAAUUCUGGAAUCUAAUGCAGAAAGAGAAGUACCCUAACCUCAGACAAACUUCAGAGAAUUUGACUGCACUUUUUGGAUCAACAUAUUUGUGUGAGUCUGCCUUUUCACAUAUGAAAAUCAAAAUACAGAUCCACCAUGACUGAUGACCACCUUGCAGUCUGCUCACGGCUGGCACUCAGCUCUUACUGUCCGGACUAUGAGAGACUAGCUUCCUCCUCUCAGUGCCAGAAAAGGUAGAGAAAUGCCACUUUUCCAACUUGAAUUAGUUCUUAUAAAAGUUCAAAGAAUUAGGCAUUGUAUUAUUUGGGUUGUUUGUCUGUCGUGUUGUUACGGCCAGUCCUAGGCCUACUUGUGCUUAUUCUUUGCAAAUUCACAUUUACUUCAAUAAAUGUAUUAUGAUUGUUAAAACUGUAUCGAUGUGUCAGAAAACAGUGUCCUAUAUAGUUGCGCAAUAAAUUGUGGCUACGCUACGGCUUUCGAUAUGGCUUGGUAGAUCUCGAUACACUAUCAACUAAAAGUAGAUCUUGGUUCAAAAAAGGUUGGGCACCCCUGCUCUACACCUUACUUACCCCAGGUGCGUAGCCACUCUGCUUUCUGUCAUACAAACGGAGGUUCUCUUGGACACAAUCCAUGAGCGAGACCUCACACCAUCUUUCAAGGGCAUGGCUGACUGGAAAGCCUUUGUUGGCAAGUAAAGCCGUUUCCAUUCUUAUUUAGCAAAUGUUUCCUAAUGUUAAGGUCGCAAUAAUAACAAUGUUGUUGAUCUAUCGAGGGACACAGUCGUCAAAUAUUUAUGUUAAUGUUAGCCCAAGACCCUUAACUUGUUGCAAUAAUAAGCACUUUGUAAGUGUAUUGAGGAGACAGAUGUCAGAUGAUCAUGUCUGACUAUAAUCCAUGUGUUACACAUAUAUGCCAUGUUUUGCUAUGUUUUUUUUACUAUUAUUAGUAUUUUAUUACAGUGCCAUACACACUGCGCCAAAACAUGACUGGUCCUGCAGGCACAGUGUAACUGACUAACUGCACUGUAUUGUAAGAAUUGUUUGCUCCCUCCUGCAUUUCAGAGCUGAAGAGGUGUGCUUUCUUAUGCAAAUAAAAUAUUUGUUUGUUUAAUGCA
Gasterosteus aculeatus aculeatus (three-spined stickleback) is the source of this 10560-nucleotide non-coding RNA. NCBI's taxonomy places the organism in Eukaryota, Metazoa, Chordata, Actinopteri, Perciformes, Gasterosteidae. The record is from RefSeq and is a predicted model, not a curated record.